GACGAACGCUGGCGGCGUGCUUAACACAUGCAAGUCGAACGGAAAGAUCCGGCGCUUGUGGGUUGCACGUUUGGCGAACGGGUGAGUAAAACAUGAGUAACCUCCCCCUGACAGUGGGAGAACACCACGAGACAGGGGCGAAUAUCGGAUAGAAUAUCCUGCUGCGCGGGGGUGGUUGGAAAGAGUCGGCGGUUGUGGAUGGACUAGCUGGUUAUCAGCUGGAUGGGGGGGUAGUGGCUUACCAAGGCUUUGAAGGGUAGCCGGCCUGAGAGGGUGGCCGGCCACCUUGGUACUGCGGUACGGCCCAGACUCCUACGGGCGGCAGCAGUGGGGAGUCUUGCGCAACGGGGGGGAGCCUGAUGCAGAGACGUCGCGUUCGUAAUGCCGUCCUUCGGGUUGUAAACCGCUGUCGCCUGUGCCGUGCCGUGCGUGACGGUACUGGGUCAAGAAGCCCCGGCUAACUACGUG
Molecule: ribosomal RNA, 468 nt
Filed under: uncultured bacterium
Lineage: Bacteria
Description: partial 16S ribosomal RNA
Rfam family: Bacterial small subunit ribosomal RNA
Source: RNAcentral